GACGAACGCUGGCGGCGUGCCUAAUACAUGCAAGUAGAACGCACAGUUUAUACCGUAGCUUGCUACACCAUAAACUGUGAGUUGCGAACGGGUGAGUAACGCGUAGGUAACCUGCCUGGUAGCGGGGGAUAACUAUUGGAAACGAUAGCUAAUACCGCAUAAUAUUAAUUAUUGCAUGAUAAUUGAUUGAAAGAUGCAAUUGCAUCACUACCAGAUGGACCUGCGUUGUAUUAGCUAGUAGGUGAGGUAACGGCUCACCUAGGCGACGAUACAUAGCCGACCUGAGAGGGUGGUCGGCCACACUGGGACUGAGACACGGCCCAGACUCCUACGGGGAGCAGCAGUAGGGAAACUUCGGCAAUGGACGAAAGUCUGACCGAGCAACGCCGCGUGAGUGAAGAAGGGUUUCGGAUCGGAAAGCUCUGUUGUAAGAGAAGAACGGGUGUGAGAGUGGAAAGUUCACACUGUGACGGUAUCUUACCAGAAAGGGACGGCUAACUACGUG
RNAcentral lists this ribosomal RNA (505 nucleotides) under uncultured bacterium. Its description in RNAcentral is "partial 16S ribosomal RNA". It matches the Rfam family "Bacterial small subunit ribosomal RNA", at positions 28 to 507 of the family's 1533-position model. The record is from RNAcentral.